CUGAAGCCUGUGAUUGGUGGAGUUUGGGUGCUGUCCUCUUUGAACUUCUCACUGGCAAGACUCUGGUUGAAUGCCAUCCAGCAGGAAUAAAUACUCACACUACUUUGAACAUGCCAGAAUGUGUCUCUGAAGAGGCUCGCUCACUCAUUCAACAGCUCUUGCAGUUCAAUCCUCUGGAACGACUUGGUGCUGGAGUUGCUGGUGUUGAAGAUAUCAAAUCUCAUCCAUUUUUUACCCCUGUGGAUUGGGCAGAACUGAUGAGAUGAACGUAAUGCAGGGUUAUCUUCACACAUUCUGAUCUUCUCUGUGACAGGCAUCUCCAGCACUGAGGCACCUCUGACUCACAGUUACUUAUGGAGCACCAAAGCAUUUGGAUAAAGACCGUUAUAGGAAAUGGGGGGGAAAUGGCUAAAAGAGAACAAUUCGUUUACAAUUACAAGAUAUUAGCUAAUUGUGCCAGGGGCUGUUAUAUACAUAUAUACACAACCAAGGUGUGAUCUGAAUUUAAUCCACAUUUGGUGUUGCAGAUGAGUUGUAAAGCCAACUGAAAGAGUUCCUUCAAGAAGUUCCUCUGAUAGGAAGCUAGAAGUGUAGAAUGAAGUUUUACUUGACAGAAGGACCUUUACAUGGCAGCUAACAGUGCUUU
Molecule: long non-coding RNA, 646 nt
Filed under: Homo sapiens (human)
Lineage: Eukaryota; Metazoa; Chordata; Mammalia; Primates; Hominidae
Description: HSALNT0021557
Source: RNAcentral